RNAcentral lists this ribosomal RNA (253 nucleotides) under uncultured bacterium. Its description in RNAcentral is "partial 16S ribosomal RNA". It matches the Rfam family "Bacterial small subunit ribosomal RNA", at positions 524 to 776 of the family's 1533-position model. The record is from RNAcentral.
UACGGAGGAUCCAAGCGUUAUCCGGAUUUAUUGGGUUUAAAGGGUGCGUAGGCGGAUUGAUAAGUUAGAGGUGAAAUGUCCGAGCUCAACUCGGGAACUGCCUCUAAUACUGUUGAUCUAGAGAAUAGUUGCGGUAGGCGGAAUGUAUGGUGUAGCGGUGAAAUGCUUAGAGAUCAUACAGAACACCGAUUGCGAAGGCAGCUUACCAAACUAUAUCUGACGUUGAGGCACGAAAGCGUGGGUAGCAAACAGG